UACGAAGGGGGGCUAGCGUUGUUCGGAAUUACUGGGCGUAAAGCGUGCGCAGGCGGCUUCUCAAGUCAGGGGUGAAAGCCCAGAGCUCAACUCUGGAAUUGCCUUUGAGACUGAGAGGCUUGAGUACGGGAGAGGUGAGUGGAAUUCCCAGUGUAGAGGUGAAAUUCGUAAGAUAUUGGGGAAGAACACCAGUGGCGAAGGCGGCUCACUGGACCGUAACUGACGCUCAUGCACGACAGCGUGGGGAUCAAACAGG
RNAcentral lists this ribosomal RNA (256 nucleotides) under uncultured bacterium. RNAcentral's name for it is "partial 16S ribosomal RNA". It matches the Rfam family "Bacterial small subunit ribosomal RNA", at positions 524 to 776 of the family's 1533-position model. The record is from RNAcentral.